AGCGGAGGAAAAGAAACCAACAGGGAUUGCCUCAGUAACGGCGAGUGAAGCGGCAAGAGCUCAAAUUUGAAAGCUGGCCCCUUCGGGGUCCGCGUUGUAAUUUGCAGAGGAUGCUUCGGGUGCAGCCCCCGUCUAAGUGCCCUGGAACGGGCCGUCAUAGAGGGUGAGAAUCCCGUCUGGGACGGGGUGUCUGCGUCCGUGUGAAGCUCCUUCGACGAGUCGAGUUGUUUGGGAAUGCAGCUCUAAAUGGGUGGUAAAUUUCAUCUAAAGCUAAAUACUGGCCGGAGACCGAUAGCGCACAAGUAGAGUGAUCGAAAGAUGAAAAGCACUUUGAAAAGAGAGUUAAACAGCACGUGAAAUUGUUGAAAGGGAAGCGUUUGCGACCAGACUCGCCCGCGGGGUUCAGCCGGCAUUCGUGCCGGUGUACUUCCCCGUGGGCGGGCCAGCGUCGGUUUGGGCGGCCGGUCAAAGGCCCUCGGAAUGUAUCACCUCUCGGGGUGUCUUAUAGCCGAGGGUGCAAUGCGGCCUGCCCGGACCGAGGAACGCGCUUCGGCUCGGACGCUGGCGUAAUGGUCGUAAAUGACCCGUCUUGAAACACGGACCAAGGAGUCUAACAUCUACGCGAGUGUUCGGGUGUCAAACCCGUACGCGCAGUGAAAGCGAACGGAGGUGGGAGCCCCCUCGCGGGGCGCACCAUCGACCGAUCCUGAUGUCUUCGGAUGGAUUUGAGUACGAGCGUAGCUGUGGGGACCCGAAAGAUGGUGAACUAUGCCUGAAUAGGGCGAAGCCAGAGGAAACUCUGGUGGAGGCUCGCAGCGGUUCUGACGUGCAAAUCGAUCGUCAAAUUUGGGUAUAGGGGCGAAAGACUAAUCGAACCAUCUAGUAGCUGG
This 890-nucleotide ribosomal RNA is filed under the name Aspergillus fumigatus. Its description in RNAcentral is "LSU rRNA". It matches the Rfam family "Eukaryotic large subunit ribosomal RNA", at positions 49 to 954 of the family's 3401-position model. Lineage: Eukaryota; Fungi; Ascomycota; Eurotiomycetes; Eurotiales; Aspergillaceae. The record is from RNAcentral.